ACAGACGGACAUGGCUAAAUCGACUAAUCUCGUCACGUUGAUCAUUUAUGUAUAUAUUUGAUGGGGGCUCCGACGUUUCUUCUAUUCAUGUUCCAGAGAUAACUUAGGGUCAAGUCACUAUAAGUCACACCUCGAUAACUUUUUGGUGGCAUUUUCAACGAGAGAAAUUUUGAGACAUUAAAUUAUAUGCUUAUCUGAGGAACAAUUAGUAAUUUAACACAAAUAUUGGCAUUAUGUACAAGUAUAAGCAGAAACUAACAGAAACGACUAUCUGAUUUACAUAACCAGAACUGAACCGAUUUUUUUAUCGGAAAAAGACAGUUAAUUUGGCGCAAAGUUAUUUAGUAAAGUUUGGUGCCAUUGCAACAACAAAUAAAAAAAAUAUCGUACGGCGCGAAAACUUAAACUGAAAUGUGGGCUUUGGUACACAUACCUAUGUAUGUCAGAGUCAGUGAUAAAAUAAAAUAAAUUUCAACUAUGUGUAGAGUUAGUAAAGCAUUAUUAAAAAAAAAUCAAUUAUGUACUACCAAUUCCAAAAACUACAAUAAUAUAUAAAAAAAAAAACAAGCAGAACAAAAUAAAAGUGCAAAAAUAAAUUGUGUUACAUCAAAACUACUACAACAAAAUAAUUAGUCAUUGUCAGAGAGAAGCAACUCAGCUUUUCACCACUUAUGUACCAACAAUUUGUAUUAUCGUUCUUGCAAUAAACUUAAGCCAUAUAGCAUAUAUAGCAAAAGUAAACCAAAACUUAGCAUGAUAAACAAUAAAGAAGGAACGGGGACAAAAUAGUAUUUGGAUACAGUAUUUUUUACACAAACAAAGAGAGCUCCUCCUCCAGCUCGCUCACCUUCUGACGCAAUUUGUUGCGCGAUUGCUGCAUUGCAUUCAAUUCUUCGCGCAGUAUCUCAAUCUCACCAGUCAGCUCAUCGACUUUCGCUAUCAAGUCGUCCUUAACAAUGUUCAAAGCAUUCCUGGAAAUGGAUAAAUAUUUUUUAAUUGAUAUAAACACAAAUAUAUGUGUGUUGUUGUACUAACUUCGUUGCCAAAAGUUCAUUAUUCUCCAUGAUGAGGUUUUCCACUUCUUUGCCCAUGCCUGCAACAAGUUGUGAGGAAAAGCGUGUUAAGUACUAAUUUAUACAUAUUUUAAGUUAUUAUUAUGAAUAAAAUAAAUGUUUGGUGAUAUGAAAGAGCGUGCAAA
Molecule: non-coding RNA, 1198 nt
Organism: Bactrocera oleae (olive fruit fly)
Lineage: Eukaryota; Metazoa; Arthropoda; Insecta; Diptera; Tephritidae
Source: RefSeq, a predicted model, not a curated record